Molecule: microRNA precursor, 76 nt
Filed under: Myotis lucifugus (little brown bat)
Lineage: Eukaryota; Metazoa; Chordata; Mammalia; Chiroptera; Vespertilionidae
Description: mir-9193 microRNA precursor family
Rfam family: mir-9193 microRNA precursor family
Source: Rfam by way of RNAcentral
CGGGGGGUGGGGGGGGGUCUUUCAGCCCAGAUUGCAAAAGGGCGCAGGCCAGGCCAAGGGACCCCACCGGUGCAUG